Long non-coding RNA from Syngnathoides biaculeatus (alligator pipefish), 3387 nucleotides. RefSeq lists it as uncharacterized. NCBI's taxonomy places the organism in Eukaryota, Metazoa, Chordata, Actinopteri, Syngnathiformes, Syngnathidae. The transcript has 3 exons. The record is from RefSeq and is a predicted model, not a curated record.
ACCAACACCACCACCACCACUACCACGAACAACAACAACAACAAAAACAAAAACAAAAAAACCAGAUUUGACGUGCUGCUCUUCAAUUGACUGCCAAAACAUACAUUUUAGGCCACUUCUAACUUGAGAAAACACAUAGUGUAAAUGCCCAUGCAGCGAAAGCAAAUGACAGUACAAGUCAUGUGGGGAUCCUUCAGCGGUUUUGUCACGGAGCGAAUCCUCCAGGGAGCUCCGUCCCAGCGUGGCGCCGAUUCGUAGCGCUGGCAGCUCAACCGGCCUUCAACGGGGGAGCGGCCAAACCCCAAAAGUGCGUUGGAGUGCAGGCUGAGAUCUGAAGGGAACGAUUCAGUGAUUGAUUAGCCUGCAACCUCCUGCCUGAGAGACGGUGGAUGACGUGCAGCCUUGGGAACACGAUUUUGGCCUCGGGGCAACUCGCACUUGAAGGUAAUAACAGACUCGUAGACGCUCUGCAGCGUCACUCGCUCACACGAGCAACAAGAGCCAACAGGCCAGCAAACAACACCUGCAAACGUGCCGCACGAUCACUUUCAAGGCUGCGAGCACUGAAAAAGCCGAGUGACUGUUCACUUAGUCAUGCUGGGUGACAUCACGGCAGCAUUUCUGGCCCCUCGGGGGCCUCGAUGCCAAGCCGAGUGUAAUUUGUAGAUAGAACAAUUAGACAACAUUGUUCUAAAGCCUCUUUCACACUGUGAUCUCGCAUAAUUACUCGAGCCUUUAUUUGCUUUGGCCUUUAACACACAAAUCAACAAAGUGCAUGUGCUUUCUCACAGCAACACAGCACAAAAUUGCACCAUAAAAGCCUUCAUAGAAGAUGGAGGCUUUAUUCUCCUGUACUUUUCACACUGAACCCAGCAAAGGAGGUUGUUGUGUGUGGACUUUCACACAACACAAAAUGGCUGUAUGAACAAACAAAGCAGCAAACAAUGUGCAAUUUCACACAGCAACACUGUAAAAGGGCUCCAUAAGAGGGGUUAUGAGGGUCAGGUUUCACGUAAAAACCAGUGCAUCAGGAUACUAAUUCAACUGUGGGCAUUUUCACACGGCAACACUGAAAAGAAUAGCUGCAUAGUACGAGGAAGGUCAAGUUUCAUGCAGAAACCGGCAAAAGGAUAGCAGGGCUUAGCCACAUAUGUGCAUGCUUUCACACAGCAACACAUAGAGAAAUUCAGUAACACUGUUGUAAUGGGAAAUAUAGCAUUUAUCGACUCAUAGUUUUUACACAGAAUCCAGUAAAGCUGGAUAUUCAUUUAUAUAUUUUCAUAGUGACGGCACAAAUUGCGGUACAAGAGCCAGCAUUUAUUCAAUUACACAUAUUACCCAAAAUGCAGUGGGAGAGGGAGGUUAUUGCUGAAACUAUGUGCACUUUCACACAGUGACACAGCAAAAAAAAUGGCUGUAUGAAAGCUGCAACGGUUUUAUACAAAAACCAGCCAAUCAAGAUAUUGUGCACUUUCACACAGCAACAAAGGAAACAUUUUGUUAGCAGAGCCAUAAUAAAAGGUUCAGCAUUUAUUCACCAGCGAUUUUUCUCACAAAACCCAGCAAAGCAGGACAAUGACACAAUUGCUAAUUCCUAUAAAGCAACAUUCUAAAAUUGCUGCAAUAUAUGCCUUUCUUUGGUUGUGUGUAAAAGGUGAAUACAUUUUUUGAGCUUUUGUCAGGGCUUUGAUACAGCAGUUCUGCUGCUAGCAUUGUGCUGUGCCUCUGUGUGAAAGUGUUCACAUGGAUAUCCUCCUUGGCUGGAUUCUGUGCGAAAGGCACAGGCAACAACAAAAUGUUGGAUUUCCUGUAACCGAUUCUGCGGCGCCACCAAAAUCAAUAAUUAAACGUUCUCUCCGGAAAACUACAGUCGCCCCCGAGGGGGAUUAUCUGGGUGAAUGUUUACAAGCCACGUGCGCCAUGUUUAGUCUACGACAGGCGUCGUCGCGGCCUGCGACCUGUCCGGACCGUUUAUGGGAACGCCAGCGAGUGAUCGGAUGCUGCGGAGUCUGCUCGAGCUGGGUCAAUAUUUGCUAUCAAACGCACUUAAGACGAUCAGCUUUAAUUGCAGCUUGCUCGUCACUCUCGCUUUAUUUGGACUAGCUUGGUCGACAAAUUACGCAAGGUGCAACCUAAUACUUGGGGGUCAUCUUUCCAUCCAUUUUCUGAGCCGCUUAUCCUCACAAAGGUUGCUGGGGUGCUGGAUCCAAACUGCAUGUUUUUGCUUUUUAUUUGGCUUUUUUGGGGCAAUCCUGACUUCCUUACAAAGGCAGGUGUUAUCAAAGUAACUCUUUACUUUUAUGGCGUAGAUGCUAACGUAAUCACCAUCUAGGCAACCUCAUGGGACUUCAGGUCUGCGAGCACCCAAAGGACAAAGUUCCUGAUUUAUGUAUUUUGGGGUUUAUGUUGGGCAACACUAAUGCCAAACAAAAGCAGUUAUAGGUUACUAAUUACUUUUAUUGAAGAGAUGCUAUCUUGGAUAGAAUUUAGCUCCAAGAAGAAGGUGUUUGAUAGCAAAGCGACAGUUUUUACCGAGUAGAUGCUAAUGUAAUUAGCGUGCAGCAUACCUUGCGACACCUCGAGUCAACGAGGAUGCAAAGGUUACGGUGCCCAUUUUGCUUUGGAUUUGGCUUUUUCUUGGCAACACAAACGUGAAAAGAAUGUAGCAAAAAAAGAAAAAAAGUAACGCAUUAUUAUUUUAUUUGCUUUGGAUGCUAAUAUAAAUAGCAUGUAACAUAACUUAAGACUUGGCUUUCUAUUUGACUUUUCUGGGAAAGGGAGAGGAGGGGGGCUACACUCAUUUCAAAAGAAUCCCUAAUUUAAUUUAGCAAUCAAAUUAAUUAAAUCAUCCCAGAUUAAUUUAAACAAGCAGACGACCCAAAAAAAAAAAACAUGUAUCAUCAUUGGUAAUGUUUAUUUACCGUGGACAUGUAACUUAUUUUUUCUUUGACUUUCUUUUAAUUACCAUAUAUUAGAAGCAUGCAAUUUGUUGUCAUUAAAUCUAUAGGGCAGUGCUUAUUUUAACACUCAGAUGCUCAACUUAUUUUUACACUUGUAUGACACUUUUUUAAAUAGCUUUUUAAUGGCCGCAACUUGUAAUACACGUGUCAUGAACAAAAAUAAAUGAUCCUAUUGUCUCUGUAAUGAUUGAAAUCAAUAUAAUCAACCUUAAUGAUCUCUAAGGGAAAAACCCCAAACACCAUGGAGUACAAAAAAUAACUAUAAACUGUAGUCAUGGCUCAUUAACAAGAAAAAAAAAAAAACAGAUAAUGAAGAGUAAUGAGGUCCACCCGCACAUUACUUGAACUCUGCACGCGACUAUUACAAUGUAAAUACUGCAGUGGGGAAAACAGCACAUGCUAGAAAGCCACCAGAGUUGAUUAAUAA